UUUAAUAUAUUUAUCUAAUUUUACCAAGGUCAGGAAGCUCCGCUCAGAAUCAGUUUUUGAUUACAAUGGUUUAUCGAACUGUUAACUGCAUUCUGCAUUUAGUAUCAUAUACAAAUCUCCCUCUAGAUUCCUUACUUAUCAAAUUCCGUCCUGAAACGGUGAUGACCAAGUACCCGUGGUUCGAAUGAUAACAGUAUUCUGCAUAAACUCGGCAAAUUUAAUUCGAAAAAUACGAACGUAGAUAUUGUGGAUUUU
Cinara cedri is the source of this 255-nucleotide non-coding RNA. The record is from the annotation of a GenBank genome assembly. NCBI's taxonomy places the organism in Eukaryota, Metazoa, Arthropoda, Insecta, Hemiptera, Aphididae.